RNAcentral lists this ribosomal RNA (435 nucleotides) under Veillonella parvula. RNAcentral's name for it is "bacterial SSU rRNA". It matches the Rfam family "Bacterial small subunit ribosomal RNA", at positions 28 to 436 of the family's 1533-position model. Lineage: Bacteria; Bacillati; Bacillota; Negativicutes; Veillonellales; Veillonellaceae. The record is from RNAcentral.
GACGAACGCUGGCGGCGUGCUUAACACAUGCAAGUCGAACGAAGAGCGAUGGAAGCUUGCUUCUAUCAAUCUUAGUGGCGAACGGGUGAGUAACGCGUAAUCAACCUGCCCUUCAGAGGGGGACAACAGUUGGAAACGACUGCUAAUACCGCAUACGAUUUAAUCUCGGCAUCGAGGAUAGAUGAAAGGUGGCCUCUACAUGUAAGCUAUCACUGAAGGAGGGGAUUGCGUCUGAUUAGCUAGUUGGAGGGGUAACGGCCCACCAAGGCGAUGAUCAGUAGCCGGUCUGAGAGGAUGAACGGCCACAUUGGGACUGAGACACGGCCCAGACUCCUACGGGAGGCAGCAGUGGGGAAUCUUCCGCAAUGGACGAAAGUCUGACGGAGCAACGCCCGCGUGAGUGAUGACGGCCCUUUCGGGGUGUAAAAGCUUCUG